Molecule: long non-coding RNA, 786 nt
Organism: Vombatus ursinus (common wombat)
Lineage: Eukaryota; Metazoa; Chordata; Mammalia; Diprotodontia; Vombatidae
Exons: 3
Source: RefSeq, a predicted model, not a curated record
CUGAGUUCUUCAUACUCCCACAGCUCCCUUUCUCUUGUGCUGUCUCGAUGGGAGGGCCCCAUAAAGCCUGCUCUGGAUACUAGGCUCCACGGGGUUUCUGUGGCCCCGGACACCAUCUCUAUCAGCCUGGCAUUUUAGAAUCAGAAAAAACCUUGGAGGCCAUCCAUUCCAACCCCUCAUCCCAGCAACAGCUUGGAAAAAAGAAGAUAGUAAUUUUUAAAUUAUAUUAAUCACCCUACUUCUACCUUCAUCAAGUAGAUAAAGUAAUUGAACAAGAAGAUGGACAUUUUUAACUUUUCAAAAAAGUUCUUUCCUGUGUGCUAUCUCAUUUGAUCCUCACAUCCACCCUAUGAGAGGAGAAGCUGACAAAGGAUAAAUAAAGGCUCAAAACUGGGGAAAAGAAGACCUCUGGGAGAUAAGGAGAGGGGAAGGGAAGCAUCAGGAGCAAGGAGUGAGCAAGUGAAAAGGUUGAAUUCCUAAGAUUCACAUGCCAAUGAAAUCAGGACCACUAUUCCCACUUUUGCUUGUGUUUCCCUUUAAAAAGGAAAGUGAAGAUGCCAGGAGGGAUACGAUGAAAACCUCCAAACAGCAUGUGAAUUCCAGAGGCAGUGCGGAGCAGAGUCUCAGAGAUAUGUGAAAGAUGAGAAGGUGCCUGAAGCAUCUGGUGUGUAUUCUGAGCACCUUUCCUGGAAAUGACCCCUUAAUUCUUUUUGAGGAGAUGCUAGACAUAAGUCAAAUCUAAACUUUGUUUAAAAGAUUUUCCCCAGAGUUCUACUCUGGUUAUAA